RNAcentral lists this ribosomal RNA (492 nucleotides) under uncultured bacterium. RNAcentral's name for it is "partial 16S ribosomal RNA". It matches the Rfam family "Bacterial small subunit ribosomal RNA", at positions 29 to 507 of the family's 1533-position model. The record is from RNAcentral.
AGUGAACGCUGGCGGUAGGCCUAACACAUGCAAGUCGAACGGCAGCACAGUAAGAGCUUGCUCUUACGGGUGGCGAGUGGCGGACGGGUGAGGAAUACAUCGGAAUCUACUUUUUCGUGGGGGAUAACGUAGGGAAACUUACGCUAAUACCGCAUACGACCUACGGGUGAAAGCAGGGGAUCUUCGGACCUUGCGCGAUUGAAUGAGCCGAUGUCGGAUUAGCUAGUUGGCGGGGUAAAGGCCCACCAAGGCGACGAUCCGUAGCUGGUCUGAGAGGAUGAUCGGCCACCCUGGAACUGAGCCACGCUCCAGACUCCUACGGGAGGCAGCAGUGGGGAAUAUUGGACAAUGGGCGCAAGCCUGAUCCAGCCAUACCGCGUGGGUGAAGAAGGCCUUCGGGUUGUAAAGCCCUUUUGUUGGGAAAGAAAAGCAGCAGGUUAAUACCCCGCUGUUCUGACGGUACCCAAAGAAUAAGCACCGGCUAACUUCGUG